Molecule: ribosomal RNA, 527 nt
Filed under: uncultured eukaryote
Lineage: Eukaryota
Description: bacterial SSU rRNA
Rfam family: Eukaryotic small subunit ribosomal RNA
Source: RNAcentral
UAGUCAUAUGCUUGUCUCAAAGAUUUAACCAUGCAUGUCUAAGUAUAAACAAUUCUAUACUGUGAAACUGCGAAUGGCUCAUUAAAUCAGUUAUAGUUUAUUUGAUAAUAUCUACUACUCGGAUAACCGUGGUAAUUCUAGAGCUAAUACGUGCGUAAAAACCCGACUUACGAAGGGUUGUAUUUAUUAGAUACAAAACCAAUGCAGGGUAACCUGGUUUUUUGGUGAUUCAUAAUAACUUCUCGGAUCGCAUGGCUCACGCCGGCGACGUUUCAUUCAAGUUUCUGCCCUAUCAGCUUUGGAUGGUAGGGUAUUGGCCUACCAUGGCUUUAACGGGUAACGGAUAAUUAGGGUUAGAUUCCGGAGAGGGGGCAUGAGAGAUGGCCACCACAUCCAAGGAAGGCAGCAGGCGCGUAAAUUACCCAAUCCUGACACAGGGAGGUAGUGACAAUAAAUAACAAUGCCGGGCCUUUCUAGGUCUGGCAAUUGGAAUGAGAACAAUUUAAAUCCCUUAUCGAGGAUCAAUU